This 72-nucleotide transfer RNA is filed under the name Herbaspirillum sp. RNAcentral describes it as "tRNA-Pro". It matches the Rfam family "tRNA". From Rfam's summary of the family: Transfer RNA (tRNA) molecules are approximately 80 nucleotides in length. Their secondary structure includes four short double-helical elements and three loops (D, anti-codon, and T loops). The record is from RNAcentral. Lineage: Bacteria; Pseudomonadati; Pseudomonadota; Betaproteobacteria; Burkholderiales; Oxalobacteraceae. RNAcentral also lists the same sequence under 2 other names.
GGGUCAAUGGUCUAGUGGCAUGAUUCUCGCUUUGGGUGCGAGAGGUCGUGGGUUCGAUUCCCACUUGACCCC